ACUUAAUAUCAUAAAUAUAAUAAACCAUUAAAAUUAUUAAAUUUUGCUUAAUUAUUUAAUCUACAAAAAUGUACAAAAUAAUAAACAGCAAGAGAAUUAGAACAGGCUUAUUGCCUACAGAAGUACAUGGACUUUAUGGCAAAACUGCUUGGUUUCAGCAUAAAUGUAAAAAUAGAUUACAUUAUUUGUUGUUUUGCAUAGCUCAAAGCGAUGCAGAUGAGAAGAUUUUCAGAUGGAAGAUAUUAAUUACACAUAUGCUCAUACUUAGCAGUUUGGAGUGUUUUCACUAAUCUCAUUUCUUCUAUGUAUUGGAUACUGG
RNAcentral lists this long non-coding RNA (319 nucleotides) under Androctonus crassicauda. The record is from RNAcentral. Lineage: Eukaryota; Metazoa; Arthropoda; Arachnida; Scorpiones; Buthidae.